RNAcentral lists this long non-coding RNA (8921 nucleotides) under Homo sapiens (human). RNAcentral describes it as "non-protein coding lnc-ZNF516-4:8". Lineage: Eukaryota; Metazoa; Chordata; Mammalia; Primates; Hominidae. The record is from RNAcentral.
ACACUUCCGGCUAAGUACGGGCGUAAUAAUGGUGAUUAAAACUGUUCACCGUUCCUUUGAGUUCCUCGUAGAUUCUGGAUAUUAGUCCUUUGUUGGAGGUAUAGAUUGUGAAGAUUUUCUCCAAUUCAUCGCCGUUUUUUAGAGUUUUUCUCACUAAAUAUUGACUAACGGAACCUAGCCCUGUAAUGUUGAUAGUCGGGCGGGUCGGAAGUGGCUGAGGUGGAGUAUCUGCAGGAGAAGAACUGAGGCUCCUAAGUGCAGCAUCUUGUCCAAGAGGUUUCGUCCCAAUGCGUGGGGAACAUCCGGAUUGUGAUGUUUAGCUCUCAGUUUCUAACUUGGGCAUUCUAGCAACUGUAUUUCUCAUUUAAUGUUUUAUGGGCACACAUGCAGAGGAGUUUUCGUCACUGAAAAGCCCGACAACUUCCCCUGCCAACCCAUUGGAAUUAAAAAAACCUCGAUAACCUCUUAAACACAUGGAAAUGGAACCCUGAGCAGAGGUAAAAGCCUAGCAGUGAUCACUCUUUUGGCGACUUGGAAAUCGGGGUGAGCUUUUAUCCGUUACCUGUGCCCUGUUGUUAGGGGUCGACUGCUGCUGUUCUUCCUUGGAAACUGGCUCCACUGCAUUUCGGGGCUGGGAUGUUGUUAAAGCAUUCACAGCCCUCAGAGCACAUGACGAGGGAGUUGGGAAAUGAAGCAAGCAGGACCUUCCACUUUGUAGCAGACUUAUUUCUGGAGAAACUGAUGGUUGGGGCCACAAAACGCUUUCAGUGUAGGCUCAUCAUGACUCAUUUGGACAUCCUAUUUUCUCUCCUUAUGUAUGAGAUUGUGGUGGGUAUCUGUACAGCCUAAGGACCUUGGGUGGACCUGGCCAGCAAUGGGACUGUUACUGAUGAUGCAUCACAUGGUGUCACUAGGAAAAGCAUAGAUCAGCUGAGGAUCAAUCUUCCCACCAGAGAGGGUAAACUGACAGAUGGGAAACUGAGGCCUGGAGAGAUUUCGUCUCCUGCUCAACAUUGUCACAACUUGUCAGAGAUGGAGCCUGAGCAAAAUCCCAGGUCUGCCUGAUUCUGAAGCCUGGACUUUUACAGAACACUGCCUCUGACCAUGGCUAUGCUGGCAUUCAGCAAGUAGGAACAUCAGGAGCACUGAGGCUGUCACUAAUGGUCCUGUCCCAGCCCCUCCACUGUGAAGCUGAGACCUUUCACAGGAACCAAAAAGGGAUUGAUGCUGUGGAGAUGGGACACUGAUACUCGCAGGUAUGCACACUGCUGGGCAGGUCCACAUGACCGAUACGUGCCAGAAGCCAACUGGAACAAAGCUGUGAAAUGGGAGCAUUUCUGAGAAAGAGAAUAGCAGCCCCUCCCUGGUGCCAGCCCAGCCCACACAGCUGGGCCUGGCAUUCUCCCUAACACAACACAUCGCUGAAGAGCAACACCAGACAAGCCACUCAUGACCCAAUGCAGCAAGACAGACAGACACCGGGUGACUGUGUCUGGACACAGAAAACAUGCCAUGGUCUAGCCACCAAUCACAGACACUGGGUGACCGUGUCUGGACACAUAUGGGACACACCUCGGCCCAACCACCGAACGAUUCCCUGUUAUGCCUACUAGGAAUGACAGCUGCUUCUUUACCUGCAUUUUCUUUAAGCACCUGUGCCAGGUGGUUUCACUCCUGAGCCUCCAGCAUGGUGUGUCAGGAAUACUUCUGUCCAAGAGUCAGGGCUGCUUGUUCAAACCUUUGCUUGGCCAUUAAUUCCCUGAAAGCUCUUGGAUAAGUCAUGUCUUGGUCUGUUUUCUGUAGCUAUAACAGAAGAUCUGAGACUAGGUAAUUUAUGAAGAAAAAGGCUUAGCUCACAGUUCUGGAGGCUGUGAAGUUCAAGAUCAGGUGGCUGCAUCUGGCAAGGGCUUCGUGUGCAUUGCAACAUGGUGGAUGACAUUACUUGGCAAGAGCACAUGUGAGAGAGGUGAGCAGGUGUAUGCAAAGAGACAAAACGCAAGGGGUGGCCUUGCUCUGUGACCUCCUGCUCUCCAGAUAGCUCAUCCAGUCCUGCAAGAGUGAGAGUUCACUCUGGAGAAAGAGCAUUAAUCCCGCUAUGAGGGCAGAGCCAGCCCUCUGCUGCAAAUGCCUCUUCAAUGUCCCACCAUCGGUCAGCACUGUUGCAUUGGGGGUUUCAAUUGGUCUCAGUUUCAAUGUUAAGGCAUGGUUGAAACAAGUGAGCUCUGAGGCCCUGUGACUCAGUGAGAGAGGACGCGAUGGGAAAGGGAAGGAGCCUGGAGGCCACAGGGACAUGGCCUCAGGGAGGCAGGCCCUCUGGUCAAUGUGAAGAGAACACAAGGCGCCCACAAACCACCUGCCGGUGGAAGGCUCCCAGACGCUGAGCAGGGUGCAAGGUGUCAGGACUUUUGGCCUGCUGGCAUGUGCCUGUCAGGGAGGGUGGGUGCACCUGGCCUAGCUGUACUUGGAGAAAGAAGCAGGCUGGGUUCCACGGCUCGUGAUCCAACAACCCCGGCCACUUUAUAGGCCCUGAAGGAGAUAUGAAAGCCCAGAUGCUGUUUUUAUGGGUUUCUGCUGUUGUUGUUUGUGUUUCAUGAAAUGUUUUAAUUGUUUGGUUUUUUAUGCAAUGUAUCCUGAGGCUUUUAAAAUUAUUUCACAAAGAGUACGUGUAGCACUGAAUGUGAAACAGACUCAUUUACAAAUUGUAGGCCGACCACAUUAGAGAAGGUGAAAGCUGCGAGCAUUGCUCUCUGCUGCCUUCGGGCUGCUGCACUAAAUAGCAGGUCACCGGCCUCGCCGGUGCUGGGGAAGGAGCACAUGAAAGGUAGGAAUGUGCUUCUCCCCAACCGAGCCUCCUCACCAGUUGUCUCUGAAUUUCUCUACUGGUUGGAAAGCAAUUUUCUUAUUAGAGAAAAAGAAAAGAAACAAAGUCAUGGUGGCCCCACCAACCUUAUCUCUUCACUCUGGAAAUUAAUAGCAAAGAUGUGCAGCAGCCACGCUGGCAGAGAGAACCACACCCCAGACCGUCCAGCAAAGCCAGGCAUGGGGAAGCGUGUCAGCAUCCGAUAAACCUGGUUGGAAACUUCUCAGUUUAAACCGCUUCAGAGACUAGCUUGAUUUUCCCACCUGAUUCUGUCAUGUUUUCUGGAUGCAUGGUCUCCUGGGACACUCCUGCCAUGAAAGAACCAGGAGGCUCUCCACUGGACAGUCACCUUAGGAAUGGGAUAGUCACAUGUGAAAUCUUGACCUGUAUAGAUGCCCCUUAUUGAUAAGAAGCUCUUUAGUUACCACAUUUUGCAAGGGUGGCAGGUUUGCCCUGUUUGAUGGCUUGCACAAGGGCCCUGAAACACCAAAUCCACAUGUGUACCACCAUUCUGCAUAUGGACUGAAUUUGGCAAAACUCAUGGUGAAUUGUCUAAGAGCCUGGACUGACUUGCUUGUUUCUUUAUUUUUUUGAGACUGAUUCUCUCUCUAUCACCCAGGCUAAAGUGCAGUGGCACAAUCUCGGCUCACUGCAACCUCCACCUUGGGUUCAAGCAAUUCUUGUGCCUCAGCCUCCCGAGUAGCUGGGAUUACAGGCACCUGCCACCACGCCCAGCUAAUUUUUGUAUUUUUAGUAGAGAAGGGGUUUCAGCAUGUUGGCCAGGCUAGUCUCGAACUCCUGACCUCAAGUAAUCCGCCCACCUCAGUCCCCCAAAGUGCUGGGAUUACAGGUGUGAGCUACUGCGCCUGGCCAGAUUUGCUUGUUUCUGAGCCAAGGUUACCGCGCUGGCUUUGAGUCACAUUUGAUUGUUAUCCCCUGGGUGCCUAUUAAACACACCGGUUCCUGUGUCCUACUCAAGACCAACUCAAACAGAAUCUUCAGGGUACAUACCUGGGGAGCUGGAUGUUUAACAAGCACCCCAGAAUUCUUCUCAUGGGGGAAGUGUGGGAAACCUGGGACUUGCUUCAGAGACCAGCGACCUCGCUCUGUGGGCAGAGUGGAGAGCAUCCUGGGACACUUGGCUCAUGGCCUCAGCUUUGGAAAUGGAUGAGCUAGGGUUAAGACCUUCCCUUGGGAGGGCUCAGAACUCAGCGAGCUGUGCCUUAGGAUAUGAGGCUGCUGUUGGGCUCAACCUGGAACAAGUACAGGUGCUGGCUUAGCUUGAUGGGUAAGAACAGGAUUUGCAGAUGGGGGGCUCCCUGUCUUGUUAGCAUUUUCAGUCUUUUGGCCAUGUCAGUAAGCUCAGGACAGGGCAAGGGCUUCUGGAAGACAAAGGAGGACAGUGAGAUUGGGCUGUUCUAUAACAUUUAUUCAGGUCUCUGGCAGAAGCCCCGUGGAACCUCAGCCGGACAGGAGGUGACGCUUCUCCAGAUGACAGUUCUUGUGCCAGCGUCUCAGGUCUGCUCCAGGCUGACGGGUGCUCCGUGCACACAGCAGACCCUGCCGGAAGCUGCAAGUUUGGGAAUCGCAGUAAGGGGUGGUGAGCUGUUCUUUGGUUGUGCGAUCACGUUUACCAGUAGUCUGGCCAGGCCUCUGGCUCAUGGUUAGCGUUUUCAUUUAUAAAAUGCCCGCCUCCCUCCCAGAGAAAGUGAGAGAAGUCAUUCACAAAAUGAUUUUAAACUGCUUUCCAAGGAGCGGCCACUGUGGAAUUGCUUCAUAGUAGUGAAAGUUUUCACUUGAGUGGGUAUUGAAAACAACGGGUUGACCUUCCAGAAAAGGAAAACACUCCUAAUUUACUACAAAUAGAAACAAAUACGUUGUUAGUUUGUAGUUGUCAGGUCACUUGCUUGCAGCAGGACCAAGACUGACACCAUGAAAUAGCCAUUAAUUCAUCUCACCAACUGCUCAGGUUCAGCCAAGUUUGGAAUAAUUUCUUCCAGAUGCCUUGCUACCACCACCCAACAUUGAAGUGGGCAUAGCUGUGCCCGCCACCCAACGUUCUGAACCAUGGGCUUGACAUAAACUGGGCAUAGCUGUGCCUGUCCCUUACUUAGCUCUACAAUAAGAAACUCUUUAGUUACCACAUUUUGCAAGGGUCCUACCUGGAGCCAUCAUCCAUGGAAUGGUUACAUUGGGAGAAUGUAUAGGAAGCCAGUGUUUUCUAAGUUAGAAUUAAUUACCAUGCUUGUCCUUGGACAGACGGGAGGCCCGGUCAUUUCUCACUUUUGUGUAUCACCUUGCAAAGUACCCUCCAUCGCCUGCUUGGGGCCACCUAAUAACUCCAUAAACUGUGCAGGUAUUAUUGCCUCCAUCUUACAGAUGACAAAACUAAGGCCAGAAUGUCAAAUAACUAGGUAAACAAUACAGGAUUCUAAAUGUGGGGGCAUGACUUGAGCCUCCAGAGCCUGAGUCUAAGCCAGAGUGUUUCCACCAAACUGUGCCAUCUUCAUACACUGAUUUCUCUAGGUAUUUGGCCAGGUAUUUUUCUGGCCAACAAAUGAAAAUUAAUGUAGUCUCUGAGAGAGGGACUAUGGUAAGGAACUAAAUGGUCUUGCCUGGCUUCUUUAGGCUUAAAUCUUUUACUAGAAGGAAUAUGUUUUAUUAUUUGUUAUUGUCAAAAUGAUAAAUAAAAGUGCUCGAUUGCAAUGAACGUCAGUAAGUAACUGACUUGACGUUGUAUAAUUAUUAAAUGUUUAAAAUAUGUUAGUGGCAAUAGUGACACUGAUAAUAUUGAUGUGUCGUGUUUUGAAGGCACUCACUUUAAUGUUUAUAUAUCCCCAAUACAUAAUGAAUUAAGUAAGCAAGCGUCGGGUCCUAAGCAUUUUUCUAAUUUAUAUGAUUAGUAAAGAAGUACUCUGCUAAAUGGGAUAAAGUGCUAGUUUAGAAUUAUGGGAUUUCAGACUUUUCUCUGUAACUACUUGCCCUAUUGUGUCGAGUCUUACUCUUUUGUUCUAGAUGACUUUCUUUAUUCAUAAAAUGGUAGUCAGGCCUUUGUAUACUGCCAAAAAUAUGUCUACCCCACACUUAGAUUUAUUCCAAAGAAUAAUUGCACAUAGAUUGUGCACCUAUUAUAAUUACUGAUGUUUAUCCAGCACACCUAAUUUUGCCUUUGUCCCGGCUUGUUGAGGACACUGUUGCCUUAACCAGUGCAUCUUCAAGAGGAACCUUGUGGCUUCUGCCAUGACCAGACAUGGGUUUCUUGGUCUUCACAUGUGAGCGCUGCAGUCUCAGGGUUGCCAGGAUGCUUCCGAGGAUGCCAUCUUCUAUUUUUUAGUGGUUACAUUUUUCAAAAUAUAGACUGAGAUGCUGUUUCCCAUUUUGGGGGUGGCUGGCCUCCUUAUUCCUGGGAUGUGCAUGGUAAAGUGAGUUUCUGAAUGGGUCUAUGAGCUUCUUCCCCAGCCAGAGUUAAUUUAGACACCACCUCUCCCUUCUAAACAGAGCCAGGGCCCAUAUACAAGUCAAAUCUGCUAUUUUUCUUUGGGCAAUGAUUUAUUUCCCUCUUAAAUUGGCUGGACCAGUUAGUUUUUUAUUUUUAUUAAGUCACACUAUUCUUAAAUGAAACUAUUGAUUUAAAGUCAGCUUAGUGAGGAUUUAAUUUGUUUUCAGGGGAUUAGAGCAGGUAGCAUGGGAUAAUUUUACAAUGAAGUGGAGCAGAAGCAUUCCUUCACAGUGCCUCGCCUUUUUUUUUUCUUGCCAGGCUGCACAGACAUUACAAAUUUUCAAGUAAAUUGUGGAAAUACAUUCAUAAAUCAGUCCUAAUUCGUCUGCCUGCUUAAGGGUGAUUCAAAGGGGAGUUCAUUCCUGACCUUGUCUCAUGUCCUUCUGAUAGGCCACGUGUCUAGGGCUAAAACACGUGUACCUGUGCAUGUACACGAACACACACACACACACACAUACACAUACACACACCAGAUUCCUUUCCUCCUUUCCUCUCUAAGGUCCAUGUAAAAUUCUUUUUCGUCGCCUUUCCUCCCUUCAUACAGUAUUGCCUCUGUUCACACAAUGGUUUCUUUCCCUAGCAUGUGGAAGGGGUGAAGGGCGCAGGGCCUGUGGGGACUGCCUAGCUUGUGUCCCCUUCGGGUCCCCCUGGUUUCUCUGCACCCAGUGCACCCUCUCCCUGCUUUCCCCCAUGCUCCAGUAUCCUCUCUCCUGGUCGGGAUCCCUCUGACCUUCCAGGAAGUUGGGUGGCAGGUCUGGGCGCCAAUGGAGGGAGGGCAGGUGGGGAAGUGAAUGUGAUCAACUCUCAUGAUGGUUUAAAAAUCAACAGAGUGAAACUGUCCAAACACAGCUAGGGAAGGUUUUCUGUUGUUUGUUUUAAAAAGUAGAGUCUUGUCAUUGCCAGUCUGUUAUCUCUGAGCUUGGCUGUCACUAUCCAUUUCAAAAGGAGCCGUUUCUUUCUAUUGAAAUCAAAUAGAGUCAGAGCCAUUUUCAGAUUAAUGGUCCUUGGUCUAGAGGUUUCAAAACCAUUUUGGUCAAUCAUUCUGAGUGUCUCCAUUGUCCACAACCCCCUCCCACUGGGGUAGCUGGGGCCGAGUCUUGCCAAGCAUCAGGUGACUAAGUCCAUCUGGAGAAUCCGCCACUGCCAAAGGGGCUGGACUAGCAUCCCACCUACUGGGCUCCCCACCAGCAGCAACACAGGGGUCCACUGCCUUUCGUUUCACAAAUAAGUCUUGACUUCCUGAACAGUCGGCUUCAUGCCUCAUGCACUGGAACUGGAAGGCAGGGCAGGCUUUUCUCUGGGACCCGGGGUGUCACUGGGAUUCCUCUGCUAAACAGCUGUGAGUGUGGGGGAUGAAGGGAGACAGGGUGUAGGUAGCAGAUACAUCAGGUGUUUCUUGGGAUUUGGACUUUCUUCUUCCUUCCUUCCUUCCUGCCUUCCUUCCUUCCUUCCUUCAUUCCUUCCUCCCUCCCUCCCUCUCUCUCUCCCUCCCUCCCUCCCUCCCUCUCUCUCUCUCUCUUUCUUUCUUUUUUUCAAGGAGUUGCAUUCUGAUUGCCCAGGCUGGAGUGCAAUGGUGUGAUCUUGGCUCACUGCAACCUCUGCCCUCUGCCUCCCAAGUUCAAGUGAUUCUCCUGCCUCAGCCUCCCGAGUAGCUGAGAUUACAGGCAUGUGCCACCAUGCCCAACUAAUUUUGUAUUUUUAGUAGGGAUGGAAUUUCUCCAUGUUGAUCAGGCUGGUCUUUAACUCCCAACCUCAGGUGAUCCACCCACCUCAGCUUCCUGAAGUGCUGGGAUUAUAGGUGUGAGCUACUGUGCCCGGUGGGAUUUGGGCUUUCCAUAGCACUCAGUUUGAUUGCGGAGAGCAGGUGAAUUGCCAAGACCUGCCUGUGGCCAUGGAGUGCAGCAGCAGGUGUGUGUGGCCGGCCAGCCUGUGGGACCAGAAGGAGACUUGAGGAUGGGGUCACGAAUGCUCCACUGCAUGGAGGAUGGGUGAGCUCAGGUCUGCCUGUUCUUGGUGUGAACGACUCACAAGAAGACUUGCCUAGAGAAAUUCAAGGGACCAACCAUACCACAAGAGAAUACAAAUGGCACAGAGCAGUAGGCAUCAUGGCAUGAGGUACCGGAACUGUGCAAGGAUUACACAAGCAUUAAAAAUGCAGAAUGGAUUGCAAGAAAAAUGCCAUAUAUUUUCUGAGUAGUCAGAGGAAAGUGUGUACGUAAAGGUGUCACGAGAAGCAUAGUGAAACUGAACUGAAAUGUUAAGAGUAACAACACAGGAAAGAUCAGCAGCAGCAGAGAUGGGAGACAUACAGGAGAAAGGCCGGAGAACUCUGAGCCAGCACCAGCACGGUUCCAGGGAAUUCCAGUGAGGGAAGGCGAGGCCAGGGUUGUAGAGAAACCCUGCUCUGCAGUUUCUGUGGGCAGUGGCCUCCCACGGAAGAACUCCUGCCCUCGGUGGAGGAGUCUCCCCUCGGGGGCUGAACCCCUUCAGCAGAGGAGCACCCUUCUUUAUGUGACCUGAUCCCCCAGGACACUUGAGUCACCCCUCCAGCUCCACAGGAAG